GAUGAAGAACGUAGCGAAAUGCGACACUUGGUGUGAAUUGCAGAAUCCCGUGAACCAUCGAGUCUUUGAACGCAAGUUGCGCCCGAAGCCAUCAGGUUGAGGGCACGUCUGCCUGGGCGUCACAUAUCGUUGCCCAAUGCCUAUUGCAGUGCAAUAGGAAUUUCUAGGGCGAAUGAUGGCUUCCCGUGAGCGUUGUUGCCUCGCGGUUGGUUGAAAAUCGAGUCCUUGGUAGGGUGUGCCAUGGUAGAUGGUGGUCGAGUUAGAACGAUACCGAUCAUGUGCAUGCUCCCCAAAAUAUGGCCUCUAUGACCCACACGCGUCUUUUGACGCUCAUGACGAGACCUCAGGUCAGGCGGGGCUACCCGCUGAAUUUAAGCAUAUCAAUAAGCGGAGGA
This 395-nucleotide unclassified non-coding RNA is filed under the name soil metagenome. Its description in RNAcentral is "partial contains 5.8S ribosomal RNA, internal transcribed spacer 2, and large subunit ribosomal RNA". The stretch from base 1 to 122 matches the Rfam family "5.8S ribosomal RNA", at positions 35 to 154 of the family's 154-position model. The record is from RNAcentral.